CGGUGGAGUAUGUGGUUAAUUCGAUGCAACGCGAAGAACUUACCUGGUCUUGACAUCCCGGAGACCCUUAGGAAACUAGGGGUGCUUCCAUCUGGAAGAAUCUGGAGACAGGUGCUGCAUGGCUGUCGUCAGCUCGUGUCGUGAGAUGUUGGGUUAAGUCCCGCAACGAGCGCAACCCUUGCCUUUAGUUGCCAGCAGUUCGGCUGGGCACUCUAAAGGGACUGCCGGUGUUAAACCGGAGGAAGGUGGGGAUGACGUCAAGUCCUCAUGGCCUUUAUGACCAGGGCUACACACGUACUACAAUGGCCGAUACAAAGGGCAGCGACACUGCGAGGUGAAGCCAAUCCCGUAAAAUCGGUCUCAGUCCGGAUUGGAGUCUGUAACUCGACUCCAUGAAGUUGGAAUCGCUAGUAAUCGUGGAUCAGCAUGCCACGGUGAAUACGUUCCCGGGCCUU
Molecule: ribosomal RNA, 455 nt
Filed under: uncultured Desulfobulbus sp.
Lineage: Bacteria; Pseudomonadati; Thermodesulfobacteriota; Desulfobulbia; Desulfobulbales; Desulfobulbaceae
Description: bacterial SSU rRNA
Rfam family: Bacterial small subunit ribosomal RNA
Source: RNAcentral